This 645-nucleotide ribosomal RNA is filed under the name uncultured fungus. Its description in RNAcentral is "eukaryotic LSU rRNA". The stretch from base 198 to 351 matches the Rfam family "5.8S ribosomal RNA". Lineage: Eukaryota; Fungi. The record is from RNAcentral.
AAGUCGUAACAAGGUUUCCGUAGGUGAACCUGCGGAAGGAUCAUUCAUAAUAAGUGUUUUAUGGCACUUUUUUAAAUCCAUAUCCACCUUGUGUGCAAUGUCAGGGUUGGUCUCUCUUUUGAGAGAUCAGCCCCAAACAUCAACUCUAUUUUAACUCUUUGUCUGAAAAAUAUUAUGAAUAAAACAAUUCAAAAUACAACUUUCAACAACGGAUCUCUUGGCUCUCGCAUCGAUGAAGAACGCAGCGAAAUGCGAUACGUAAUGUGAAUUGCAGAAUUCAGUGAAUCAUCGAAUCUUUGAACGCAUAUUGCGCUCUUUGGUAUUCCGAAGAGCAUGCUUGUUUGAGUAUCAGUAAACACCUCAAAGCCUUUUUUCUUUUUUGAAGAAAGGCUUUGGACUUGAGCAAUCCCAACACCAAUCUUUUAAAGAGAGGGGGGCGGGUUGCUUGAAAUGCAGGUGCAGCUGGACAUUCUCCUGAGCUAAAAGCAUAUUCAUUUAGUCCGUCAAACGGAUUAUUACUUUUGCUGCAGCUAACAUAAAGGGAGUUUGACCAUUUUGGCUGACUGAUGCAGGAUUUUCACAAGAGUCUUCAAAACCCUUGUUAAACUCGAUCUCAAAUCAAGUAAGACUACCCGCUGAACUUAA